Molecule: long non-coding RNA, 1522 nt
Organism: Hippoglossus stenolepis (Pacific halibut)
Lineage: Eukaryota; Metazoa; Chordata; Actinopteri; Pleuronectiformes; Pleuronectidae
Exons: 2
Source: RefSeq, a predicted model, not a curated record
CCUUCCUCUCUCUCUGAAUCUGAUAGCCUUACUAGGAAGCCGUUUGGAACGAGCAGCAGGGGACAUGGGGGUGGGGGGGCUGAGAUGCAGCUUAAAUCCUGCCCCACUUUUUUGGCUGACAAACGAAAUAAAAAAAAGACGACAAAGAAGGCGAGGGGAUAAGAUUUGCUUUUGCUUCCCCAGCUGCAAUCUGCUGUGCGUGUCUCUCCACGUCACCCUGACAUGAUCAACGAUGAUGCUGUGCGUCACUUGAUCCUCAGCACUGAGGUGGCACAGGAGGAAGAAAAUUGCUCUCCAUGGUUAGACUGGAAUGAACAGUGUGCACUGCACACACAACAAUACAUGGCUCAUUUCCUCAUCAGCCGGUCAAGAGAGGAGGACAAAUAACUAACGUAAACGACCUGGAGAGACUGGAUCGCUGACAUUCUUCUACAACACUAACAGCUCUGUGAUGAUUAGAAUUUUUUGGUAAGUUUGUUUGUAAGCAAGAUUACACAAAUUUCUAAAUGAACGAAUUUCCCCCGAAACCUGGUGGAAGGAUGUGGUAUGUGUCAGGAAAGAACCUAUUUAAUUUGGGUGCAGAUCCAGACAUUUUUUUUUUAAUCACUUUAACGUUGCCAGAUAGGACAACUGGUUUCUCAAGAAGUGAAACCACCGAAGAACAUGAUCUGAACUCGAGUCCUGGGUUUUUCUGGGGUCAUUUUAAGAGUUUCACCACCAUUACCAGAAAUCUGAUAUUACAGAGGGAUUAUUAAAAUGUUAUGUUUCAGAAAUAUAUUGAGUUUGCCACUAUGAUAUAUAUGGGGAAAAAAAUUAAUAGGACUUACAUAUAGGAAUCAUCGCAAUCUAAUUAUAAUCAAUGGCAAUACAAAUCUAUAUAUAGCAUACAUUGCUUAUGCAGUGUGAAGACAUGGUGAGGAGACAUAACUAUAUAUACGUUUUAAUGUUCUUUCUCAGAUUUAUAGUGUUUGUCAUUCUCUGCUCAUAAAGAAGCGUUUAAGACUUAAAGAAUUUAAAGAAAAGAGAAAUAAUAAUGUGACAUUUAUCCUGAUGAUAUAAAUAUUGACUGAAAUCCACAUUUUGAUCUUGAAAUAACACACGGCCUUAUCGCCCAGCUCUAGGAGGAGCCAGGCCAUGAUGUUGAAUAGAGAUUUGAAAUGUAAAAAAACUAAUGCUGCUCGUCUUUUUUUUUCUGCUUCACAUGAAAGUAAAGGUAAAACCUGGUGUUUUCCACACAGCUGAUGAAAUGUACGUCCCACUUGUUUGUAAUAUUCUGGGGUUAACUUUAAUAUUUGAAUUUAUCUGGGGAUUCUUCUUCUUGCACUAUUAAUCCUUUAUUUACUUUAGUUAAAGACACAUCUCUUCAGGCCUUCUUCUGGAGUUGAGAGCGUUGUUAUCCCAGCAGAUUGUUAUUUUAUUUUCUUUAGUAUUAUGCUAUAUUACGUAUUGCUGUUUUCUUGUUAUAACUUUUCCCAAGUUGUUUUAAAUGUGCUACAUAAAUAAAGUUGACAUGGACAUUUCA